GACGAACGCUGGCGGCGUGCUUAACACAUGCAAGUCGAACGGAAAGGCCCUGCUUUUGUGGGGUGCUCGAGUGGCGAACGGGUGAGUAACACGUGAGUAACCUGCCCUUGACUUUGGGAUAACUUCAGGAAACUGGGGCGAAUACCGGAUAGGAGCUCCUGCUGCAUGGUGGUGGUUGGAAAGUUUCGGCGGUUGGGGAUGGACUCGCGGCUUAUCAGCUUGUUGGUGGGGUAGUGGCUUACCAAGGCUUUGACGGGUAGCCGGCCUGAGAGGGUGACCGGCCACAUUGGGACUGAGAUACGGCCCAGACUCCUACGGGAGGCAGCAGUGGGGAAUAUUGCACAAUGGGCGGACGCCUGAUGCAGCAACGCCGCGUGCGGGAUGACGGCCUACGGGGUGUAAACCGCUUUCGCCUGUGACGAAGCGUGAGUGACGGUAAUGGGUAAAGAAGCACCGGCUAACUACGUG
Molecule: ribosomal RNA, 468 nt
Filed under: uncultured bacterium
Lineage: Bacteria
Description: partial 16S ribosomal RNA
Rfam family: Bacterial small subunit ribosomal RNA
Source: RNAcentral